AGAGCACACGGUGAAUGCCUUGGUACAGACAGGCGAUGAAGGGCGUAGUAAGCUGCGAUAAGCUUCGGGGAGUUGCUGAACAAACUUUGAUCCGGAGAUUUCCGAAUGGGGAAACCCGCCACGAUUAAUCCCGUGGCAUCCCUCAGUGAAUACAUAGCUGUGGGAGGCAAACGGAGGGAAGUGAAACAUCUCAGUACCUCCAGGAAUAUAAAUCAAUAGAGAUUCCCGUAGUAGCGGCGAGCGAAACGGGAAUAGCCCAAACCGUUCCUGGCAACAGGGGCGGGGUUGUGGGGCUCAUUCCGGGCGUAGCCCGGCAAGUUACAAAACUAACCUAUAGUUGAAUGAACCUGGAAAGGACGGCCAGAGAGGGUGAUAGCCCCGUAAGCGAAAUAGGUUGGACUUGCUGGAAUGAGUACCCGAGUACCACGGGGCACGUGAAACCCCGUGGGAAUCUGGGAGGACCAUCUUCCAAGGCUAAAUACUAGUCUGUAACCGAUAGUGAACAAGUACCGUGAGGGAAAGGUGAAAAGAACCCCGGCAAGGGGAGUGAAAUAGAAACUGAAGCCGUGUGCUUACAAGCAGUGGGAGCACCAUGUGUUGGGUUCGCCCAACGCGGUGUGACCGCGUGCCUUUUGCUUAAUGAGUCUGCGAGUUACGCUCUGUAGCAAGGUUAAGCCGCGAGGUGUAGCCGUAGCGAAAGCGAGUCUUAACUGGGCGAAUAGUUGCAGGGAGUAGACCCGAAGCGGGAUGAUCUACCCAUGGCCAGGGUGAAGUUCUGGUAACACAGAAUGGAGGCCCGAACCGUUAGAGGUUGAAAACUCUUCGGAUGAGUUGUGGGUAGGGGUGAAAGGCCAAUCAAAUUCCGUGAUAGCUGGUUCUCUCCGAAAUAUAUUUAGGUAUAGCCUCUGAUGAUUACUGGCGGAGGUAGAGCACUGAAUGGGCUAGGGCCCUUCACCGGGUACCAAACCUAAUCAAACUCCGAAUGCCGCCAAGUACAGUCAGGGAGUCAGUCCAUGGGUGCUAAGGUCCAUGGUCGAAAGGGAAACAACCCGGACCGCCGGCUAAGGUCCCGAAGUGCAUGCUGAGUGGGAAAGGAUGUGGGAAGACUCAGACAGCCAGGAGGUUGGCUUAGAAGCAGCCAUCCUUUAAAGAAAGCGUAACAGCUCACUGGUCAAGUCGUCCUGCGCCGAAAAUGUAACGGGGCUAAGCAUGCCACCGAAGCCGCGGAUCAGUUCACGCCUACGGGUGUGUCCUGGUGGUAGGAGAGCAUUCCACUCGCCUGAGAAGCGUGACCGUAAGGACGCGUGGAGGUUGUGGAAGAGCUUAUGCAGACAUGAGUAGCGAUAAAAGAGGUGAGAAACCUCUUCGCCGUAAGUCUAAGGUUUCCUGGGUAAAGCUAAUCUGCCCAGGGUUAGUCGGUGCCUAAGCCGAGGCCGAAAGGCGUAGGUGAUGGACAUCAGGUUAAUAUUCCUGAACUACCGGCUUGACNNNNNNNNGGGUGAUGGAUAUCCCGGUUCAAGCGUGUAGGCGGGAAGGGUAGGCAAAUCCGCCCUUCCGUUAACGCCGAGACGUGAUGGCGAGUGAAACCUUUUGGGGUUUCAUGAAGUGAUUGAUCCCAUGCUUCCAAGAAAAUCCUCUAAGGGAGUCAAGCAGGUAACCGUACCGCAAACCAACACAGGUAGACGGGUAGAGAAUACCAAGGCGCUUGAGAGAACUCUGGUUAAGGAACUCGGCAAAUUGACACCGUAACUUAGGGAGAAGGUGUGCCGCCAUCAGGUGAUGGGCCUUGCGCCCGGAGCCGAAGGCGGUUGCAGAGACCAGGGGGUAGCGACUGCUUACCAAAAGCACAGGACUCUGCAAAGUCGCAAGACGACGUAUAGGGUCUGACGCCUGCCCGGUGCCGGAAGGUUAAGAGGACUCGUUAGCUCUUCGGAGCGAAGCGGGGAAUCGAAGCCCCGGUAAACGGCGGCCGUAACUAUAACGGUCCUAAGGUAGCGAAAUUCCUUGUCGGGUAAGUUCCGACCUGCACGAAUGGCGCAACGACUUCCCCACUGUCUCAACCAGGGACUCAGCGAAAUUGCACUCUCGGUGAAGAUACCGAGUACCCGCAGCUGGACGGAAAGACCCUGUGCACCUUUACUACAACUUUGCAGUGAGGCUAGGAAUACCAUGUGUAGGAUAGGUGGGAGGCUUUGAAGCGGGGGCGCUAGCCCUCGUGGAGCCAACCUUGAAAUACCACCCUUGAUCUUUUUGGUCUCUAACCGUGGCCCGUUAUCCGGGUCCGGAACAUUGCAUGGUGGGUAGUUUAACUGGGGCGGUUGCCUCCAAAAGAGUAACGGAGGCGCGCAAUGGUUCCCUCAGGCCGAAUGGAAACCGGCCGUCGAGUGCAAAGGCAUAAGGGAGCUUGACUGCGAGAGAGACAUCUCGAGCAGAUGCGAAAGCAGGUCUUAGUGAUCCGGUGGUCCCGAAUGGAAGGGCCAUCGCUCAACGGAUAAAAGGUACGCCGGGGAUAACAGGCUUAUCUCCCCCAAGAGUUCACAUCGACGGGGAGGUUU
Molecule: ribosomal RNA, 2555 nt
Filed under: hydrothermal vent metagenome
Description: bacterial LSU rRNA
Rfam family: Bacterial large subunit ribosomal RNA
Source: RNAcentral